GCUGAGCCUUCGGGCACGGUGUACUUGUCGGCGGUAUGCGCUGAGUCCGCUGUUGGUGUGCGUUGAGCGUUGCGGUGUUGCCCACUUGUGGUGUCUUGCCGCGGCGGGAGGCGUAUCGUCGGUAGCGCGAUUCGGUGUAGGCGUUGAUCACCUGUCUGACCCGUCUUGAAACACGGACCAAGGAGUCUACCGCAUGCGCGAGUCAUUGGGUUGCAAACCUAGAGGCGCAAUGAAAGUAAAGGUCGGCGUUCGCUCGGCUGAUAUGGGAUGCGUGUGCUUGUCAUGCGCCGCACCAUAUCCCCGUCUCGACGG
RNAcentral lists this ribosomal RNA (312 nucleotides) under Teratorhabditis synpapillata. RNAcentral's name for it is "partial 28S ribosomal RNA". It matches the Rfam family "Eukaryotic large subunit ribosomal RNA", at positions 599 to 777 of the family's 3401-position model. The record is from RNAcentral. Lineage: Eukaryota; Metazoa; Nematoda; Chromadorea; Rhabditida; Rhabditidae.